AGUCGAGCGGACAGAAGGGAGCUUGCUCCCGGAUGUUAGCGGCGGACGGGUGAGUAACACGUGGGUAACCUGCCUGUAAGACUGGGAUAACUCCGGGAAACCGGAGCUAAUACCGGAUAGUUCCUUGAACCGCAUGGUUCAAGGAUGAAAGACGGUUUCGGCUGUCACUUACAGAUGGACCCGCGGCGCAUUAGCUAGUUGGUGGGGUAAUGGCUCACCAAGGCGACGAUGCGUAGCCGACCUGAGAGGGUGAUCGGCCACACUGGGACUGAGACACGGCCCAAACUCCUACGGGAGGCAGCAGUAGGGAAUCUUCCGCAAUGGACGAAAGUCUGACGGAGCAACGCCGCGUGAGUGAUGAAGGUUUUCGGAUCGUAAAGCUCUGUUGUUAGGGAAGAACAAGUGCGAGAGUAACUGCUCGCACCUUGACGGUACCUAACCAGAAAGCCACGGCUAACUACGUGCCAGCAGCCGCGGUAAUACGUAGGUGGCAAGCGUUGUCCGGAAUUAUUGGGCGUAAAGGGCUCGCAGGCGGUUUCUUAAGUCUGAUGUGAAAGCCCCCGGCUCAACCGGGGAGGGUCAUUGGAAACUGGGAAACUUGAGUGCAGAAGAGGAGAGUGGAAUUUCACGUGUAGCGGUGAAAUGCGUAGAGAUGUGGAGGAGCACCAGUGGCGAAGGCGACUCUCUGGUCUGUAUCUGACGCUGAGGAGCGAAAGCGUGGGGAGCGAACAGGAUUAGAUACCCUGGUAGUGCACGCCGUAAACGAUGAGUGCUAAGUGUUAGGGGGUUUCCGCCCCUUAGUGCUGCAGCUAACGCAUUAAGCACUCCGCCUGGGGAGUACGGUCGCAAGACUGAAACUCAAAGGAAUUGACGGGGGGCCGCACAAGCGGUGGAGCAUGUGGUUUAAUUUGAAGCAACGCGAAGAACCUUACCAGGUCUUGACAUCCUCUGACAACCCUAGAGAUAGGGCUUUCCCUUCGGGGACAGAGUGACAGGUGGUGCAUGGUUGUCGUCAGCUCGUGUCGUGAGAUGUUGGGUUAAGUCCCGCAACGAGCGCAACCCUUGAUUUUAGUUGCCAGCAUUCAGUUGGGCACUCUAAGGUGACUGCCGGUGACAAACCGGAGGAAGGUGGGGAGGACGUCAAAUCAUCAUGCCCCUUAUGACCUGGGGUACACACGUGCUACAAUGGACAGAACAAAAGGGUGCAAGACCGCAAGGUUUAGCCAAUCCCAUAAAUCUGUUUUCAGUUCGGAUCGCAGUUUGCAACUCGACUGCGUGAAGCUGGAAUCGCUAGUAAUCGCGGAUCAGCAUGCCGCGGUGAAUACGUUCCCGGGCCUUGUACACACCGCCCGUCACACCACGAGAGUUUGCAACACCCGAAGUCGGUGAGGUAACCUUUAUGGAGCCAGCCGCCGAAGG
RNAcentral lists this ribosomal RNA (1419 nucleotides) under Bacillus pumilus. Its description in RNAcentral is "16S ribosomal RNA". It matches the Rfam family "Bacterial small subunit ribosomal RNA". Lineage: Bacteria; Bacillati; Bacillota; Bacilli; Caryophanales; Bacillaceae. The record is from RNAcentral.